Molecule: transfer RNA, 75 nt
Filed under: Trueperaceae bacterium
Lineage: Bacteria; Thermotogati; Deinococcota; Deinococci; Trueperales; Trueperaceae
Description: tRNA-Asn
Rfam family: tRNA
About the family: Transfer RNA (tRNA) molecules are approximately 80 nucleotides in length.
Source: RNAcentral
UCCGCGGUAGCUCAGUGGAAGAGCGGUCGGCUGUUAACCGAUUGGUCGUAGGUUCGAAUCCUACCCGCGGAGCCA